RNAcentral lists this ribosomal RNA (446 nucleotides) under uncultured bacterium. RNAcentral's name for it is "partial 16S ribosomal RNA". It matches the Rfam family "Bacterial small subunit ribosomal RNA", at positions 338 to 795 of the family's 1533-position model. The record is from RNAcentral.
CCUACGGGGUGCAGCAGUCGAGAAUCAUUCACAAUGGGGGAAACCCUGAUGGUGCGACGCCGCGUGGGGGAAUGAAGGUCUUCGGAUUGUAAACCCCUGUCAUGUGGGAGCAAAUUAAAAAGAUAGUACCACAAGAGGAAGAGACGGCUAACUCUGUGCCAGCAGCCGCGGUAAUACAGAGGUCUCAAGCGUUGUUCGGAAUCAUGGGGCGUAAGGCGUGCGUAGGCUGUUGCGUAAGUCGUGUGUGAAAGGCGCGGGCUCAACCCGCGGACGGCACAUGAUACUGCGAGACUAGAGUAAUGGAGGGGGAACCGGAAUUCUCGGUGUAGCAGUGAAAUGCGUAGAUAUCGAGAGGAACACUCGUGGCGAAGGCGGGUUCCUGGACAGUAACUGACGCUGAGGCACGAAGGCCAGGGGAGCGAAAGGGAUUAGAUACCCCGGUAGUC